Molecule: long non-coding RNA, 2815 nt
Organism: Bombyx mori (domestic silkworm)
Lineage: Eukaryota; Metazoa; Arthropoda; Insecta; Lepidoptera; Bombycidae
Exons: 2
Source: RefSeq, a predicted model, not a curated record
UGGACGUUCUCUCCUCGCCGCUGUCCACACACUACACAAAGACAUAUUUACAGCAUACAAGUAGCAUACUUUUUCUACAAGUUAAUUACAUUUUUACAAAAGCCGGUGCUUCAAGAUAUUAUUAUGCUUUUUUUUUUAAAUACAUUUUAUGACCUGGUAACUAAGACCUUUAAGUCAUGUCUUAUUUUAAUUUAUAUUCAUAUUUUUAUGGAAAAUGAUAUUAUGGAGUGAAAUGAAAUGAAGAUGAUUAAUUUGAGACAUUAAUCAACUGGGAUGAAACUAAAUGAAAAGAGAUGUUAAUGGAUGAAAAAUAAUUACAGUAAAAUGGUGGCCAUUUACUGAGAUUUUUUCAGUAGACUUUUUGGAGGAUCCCGAGAAGCUACGUCCAGCAACUUUGUCUCAUUUUCCCACGUUUGUGCACUCUCACAGAUAUUAAACAGUUAAUAAACCACCGUUAUUACGCAUUUAAACCCGAAGAAACACUAAAUAGACAAAAUAAAACAAAUCACACAACUUCACUCCUCACAUUCCCGCCACAAAGUCCUAUGUCAAUUUAGCUAAUCUGCAGACACAGAUUAUACUAACAGUAAAUUUUUAAUAGUUUAAAAACUUUCAAUCUGCUAUUUAGUUCAAGUUGGCAUGUGAAUAUGGUCUAAUUUUUAAAUGGUAAAUUAUUAGACAAUAUUAUUAGGCAGUAGUAUUUUUAAGGCGUAUUAUUUUGCAGACUAUCAAACUUAAUUUUAAUAUACCUACUAUGUAUUUCGGAUAAUUUGAAUUCAAACAAAUGGCAACUGUUCGGAUUUUAAACGUUGGACCGUGAAUUUGCGAUUUGGUUUUUAACAUUUGUAAAUGUUAAUUACACAUCUUAAAGGUACAUUAAUUUAUAGAAAAUAAUAUAAAAAUUUUGGUAACGAUACAGGACUCAUUUUUAAUUUCGUUAAAUUUAGGAACUAGAUCUAGGUACAUAUGAAAUACCGUUUUUUUUAAAUACUGUUCCUUAGGCAUUAAAAAAAGAUUCUCUCUAAAUUCAAACUUUCUUAGAUUCUAGAUUAUAGCAAGAGUUUUUAGUUGGCUGUCUUGAAACACAGGCUUACCUAGCUUUGUACUUUUUUGUACUACAGUAUUAAGGAGGAGGAGGAGAGAUAAGGAGAAUUAUGUCUUAUGGGAGACAAGUUAAAAAAAAAAACCAGCUAUAAACAUUAAAUUACAACUCAGAAACCCACCAAAAUAGCGUUAGCAUAGCCAGUGAUGCGAUAUAAAUGUAGCCGUUGUAAACUAAGCGAAGUGUGCUGAGUUUAUAAGUUACAAUAACAUUUAAGACGCCAUAUUGUAAAUGACACCGCUUGCUACAGUAACGCCAUCUAUAUUGGUUGUUUUUCCACUGACAGUUUAUGAUACACAGAGAGGGUACUCCUCAGUUCUAUUCUACUUAAGUAUAUGUGUUUGACAUGUUAGAAAGUUAGAAUUAUUAAUAAGGAUGAUAUUAGAGUUGUGUCUGUAUAUUCAAUUUUGUUUUUUGAAUGCGUUUCUGUGUGUGUGUCUGUGUGUGUAGUGUUUGAUUGGUAGUGUUGGCUUACGUCAAAAUCGCCGAUAGUGAACUUAGUGCUGGCGGCCUCCGCGACGAGCUGCGCGGGGGCGGGGGGCGCGGUCUCCGGCGACAGAACCUACACACCGACCGGCAAGCACACGUGCGAGUGUUAGUCGUGACCAGGGUUGCCAGCUCUUAAUAAUCGAUUUCUACUAUCGCGACAUUCCACAGACUAUUAUUUAACGGGAACUCGUUAAUUGUGGAAUCUGUGGAUAGCCCGUUAAAUAAUUGUGUGUGUUUAAGCUAUUUAUACAGUAAAAGCUCUUUAGUCGCAGCGUAUAUGUUCUGACUUCUGUAAUUAUGUCGCGAAUACAGAAACCGUGAAUAUGGAAUGGUAAUUUACAUAUAUGGGAUUAUAAGCCAUAUCAUUUAACAAUAUACUUUAGGCAUAUUUGUAAUAAGGCCUAUUUUACUUUUUUAUUAUUUCAUUUGAGGACGUGCUUACAAAGGAUAUUGGAUUCGAUACCUACAUAUUGGAAUACUUUUUACCUAUGUGUACGUACAGAUUAAAUUCGCGAAAACAGAAGUCUGUAGUCGUACUGGGUCGCAUUUUUUUUAUCCGCGAAUGAAGGAAGUGCGAAUAAGAAGCUUUUACUGUAAUUACUUUAUUGACUAUGAAUUUUGAGACCGCACCUUUGGGAAAGUUUUACACUUCCAUUAUUUAGAAUUGUGCCAUCAGAGUACAGAAUGGAAUAAAGUGCAUAGUUAAAGUACAGUUGCUGGCAACCCUAGUUGAAACCCAAAUGAAAUGAGUCAAUGAUACCCUGUUUUUCGAAUACCACUGUUUAAAAUCCAUGAGUGGACGAAGGAGCGGUAUAUAAUUCGUUUUUUAAUUAUUUAUUUGUUAAAUGAAUUCAGUUUCAACCUUUUUCUUGGUACGGAAAUACACCUGCAACCAACUCAAGUGCAUCUAUUUUCUGUCAUCUAUAAUAGAUGUUGUCAAUGUCAGAGUUAUGGCCAAGCUGGUUCCGGAUGUAAUUUAACAGAAGUCUAUUAAAUAUAUUAACUAUGGAAGCCCUUUUUUAAAAAAUAAGUACCACGGGUUUUAACAAGCCAAGGGCAAAUUUAUUUAAAGAAAAGUAAACUAAAAGUAUUUUUAUAUUAGGUUGCCAAUUAUAUUCUACGUCCUUUGUCCAUUCAUGUUUUUUAUACAAAUGUUCAAUUAAUCUAAAAUGUUACUAUUUUUUAUGUAUUUUUAGUAUUGUUAAUAAAAAAGAAAUGAGCUAA